This 497-nucleotide ribosomal RNA is filed under the name uncultured bacterium. RNAcentral's name for it is "partial 16S ribosomal RNA". It matches the Rfam family "Bacterial small subunit ribosomal RNA", at positions 28 to 507 of the family's 1533-position model. The record is from RNAcentral.
GAUGAACGCUGGCGGCGUGCCUAAUACAUGCAAGUCGAGCGAACGGACGAGAAGCUUGCUUCUCUGAUGUUAGCGGCGGACGGGUGAGUAACACGGGGAUAACCUACCUAUAAGACUGGGAUAACGUCGGGAAACCGGAGCUAAUACCGGAUAAUAUUGUGAACUGCAUGGUUCAAAAGUGAAAGACGGUCUUGCUGUCACUUAUAGAUGGAUCCGCGUUGCAUUAGCUAGUUGGUAAGGUAACGGCUUACCAAGGCAACGAUGCAUAGCCGACCUGAGAGGAUGAUCGGCCACACUGGAGCUGGGACACGGUCCAGAGUCCUACGGGAGGCAGCAGUAGGGAGUUUUCCGCAAUGGGCGAAAGCCUGACGGAGCAACGCCGCGUGAGUGCUGAAGGUAUUCGGAUCGUAAAACUCUGUUAUUAGGGAAGAACAUAUGUGUAAGUAACUGUGCACAUCUUGACGGCACCUAAUCAGAAAGACACGGCUAACUACGUG